GAUAGUGACAUAACAAGUUUGGAUGUCCUAUCUAAGCUCGAGAAACUCAAGGUUCUAUCCAUUGAUUUUGGCACUGAAAAGUUAGACGGAAAAAGUAUGCAAGAGACGCUAGAUCAGCUUCCACCUCCACAAGGACUUGAGGAGCUGUAUCUCAGGCGUUACCGUCAUGAUACUUUGCCGAAAUGGGUUAAUCCUCAGUUUCUUCGCAAAUUGGUAUAUCUUUGUAUUGAGGAUGGAGAUCUGUUUGAUAUCUGCGCAGGUGAAACCACUUGGAACCUUGAGGGUUUGCGUUUGAAUCUGUUGCCAUACUUGAAGAAGGACUGGAA
Molecule: unclassified non-coding RNA, 326 nt
Filed under: Hevea brasiliensis (rubber tree)
Lineage: Eukaryota; Viridiplantae; Streptophyta; Magnoliopsida; Malpighiales; Euphorbiaceae
Source: RNAcentral